UUAACAUAAAAAAUAAAUAAAAAUCACAGAAGCGAUAUUAUUCAAAACCAACGACAGAGAUCGAUUGGGCUGGUCGACAAGCACAUUUUGAUACUAGUGAAAUAUUGCUGCGCGCGCGUUGAAAUUUCUAUUUAUUUUUUGUGUGUGUGACGGCUGUGUGGGGAGCCGAGGAACAGAGCUGUUGGCGCCACUUUCAAAUCCUGCACUGACACAGUUAGUCCGUCUUCAAACACAUUUAAGUUACACACCACUUAAUUUCUCUUUUUCAUAAUUACUGUUAGACGAGGAAUAUCUUAACACCCCUUCUCUUUUGGACAGUUUUUUCUUCGGAAGCAGGUGGAUGUGUGAAAGUCUCCCUGUAAGAUGCUGACGGCCACACCGUCACCGUGAGUGGAGUUUCCGUAAAUGCCAAAAAGAGGAAAUCCGAUCCCUUCAGUCAUCACUAAAGCUGUGUGAAGCCAAUGGAAGACACUACAGCACAUUCACAGACACAGAAAGCUGCUAAUAAACUGACCAACUUAACCAAGCCUGCCUCAGUACUUAUUCAACAAGUACUUGUGUCUGGAUAUUCUUUGAUUUCUGUGUGUGUGUGUGUGUGUGUGUGUGUGUGUGUGUGUGUGUGUGUGUGUGUGUGUGUGUGUGUGUUUUGAGAAUAGCAGUCAGUGUGUCAGGCUG
Molecule: long non-coding RNA, 675 nt
Organism: Thunnus maccoyii (southern bluefin tuna)
Lineage: Eukaryota; Metazoa; Chordata; Actinopteri; Scombriformes; Scombridae
Exons: 3
Source: RefSeq, a predicted model, not a curated record